Molecule: ribosomal RNA, 1409 nt
Filed under: metagenome
Description: bacterial SSU rRNA
Rfam family: Bacterial small subunit ribosomal RNA
Source: RNAcentral
AGAGUUUGAUCCUGGCUCAGGAUGAACGCUGGCGGCGUGCUUAACACAUGCAAGUCGAACGAGCCUUCGGGCUAGUGGCGGACGGGUGAGUAACGCGUGAGAAUCUGCCCUCAGGAGGGGGAUAACGGCUGGAAACGGCCGCUAAUACCCCAUAUGCCGCGAGGUGAAAUGAGAAAUCGCCUGAGGAUGAGCUCGCGUCUGAUUAGCUAGUUGGUGGGGUAAGAGCCUACCAAGGCAUCGAUCAGUAGCUGGUCUGAGAGGAUGAUCAGCCACACUGGGACUGAGACACGGCCCAGACUCCUACGGGAGGCAGCAGUGGGGAAUUUUCCGCAAUGGGCGCAAGCCUGACGGAGCAACGCCGCGUGAGGGAUGAAGGCCUCUGGGCUGUAAACCUCUUUUCUCAAGGAAGAAGAACUGACGGUACUUGAGGAAUAAGCCACGGCUAAUUCCGUGCCAGCAGCCGCGGUAAUACGGGAGUGGCAAGCGUUAUCCGGAAUUAUUGGGCGUAAAGCGUCCGCAGGCGGUCUUGAAAGUCUGUUGUUAAAGCGUGGAGCUCAACUCCAUUUCAGCAAUGGAAACUAGAAGACUAGAGUGUGGUAGGGGCAGAGGGAAUUCCCGGUGUAGCGGUGAAAUGCGUAGAUAUCGGGAAGAACACCAGUGGCGAAGGCGCUCUGCUGGGCCAUAACUGACGCUCAUGGACGAAAGCCAGGGGAGCGAAAGGGAUUAGAUACCCCUGUAGUCCUGGCCGUAAACGAUGAACACUAGGUGUCGGGGGAAUCGACCCCCUCGGUGUCGUAGCCAACGCGUUAAGUGUUCCGCCUGGGGAGUACGCACGCAAGUGUGAAACUCAAAGGAAUUGACGGGGGCCCGCACAAGCGGUGGAGUAUGUGGUUUAAUUCGAUGCAACGCGAAGAACCUUACCAGGGUUUGACAUCCUGCGAAUCUUUUGGAAACAGAAGAGUGCCUUCGGGAGCGCAGAGACAGGUGGUGCAUGGCUGUCGUCAGCUCGUGUCGUGAGAUGUUGGGUUAAGUCCCGCAACGAGCGCAACCCACGUCUUUAGUUGCCAGCAUUAAGUUGGGCACUCUAGAGAGACCGCCGGUGAUAAACCGGAGGAAGGUGUGGAUGACGUCAAGUCAUCAUGCCCCUUACAUCCUGGGCUACACACGUACUACAAUGCUACGGACAGAGGGCAGCAAACUCGCGAGAGCUAGCAAAUCCCAUAAACCGUGGCUCAGUUCAGAUCGUAGGCUGCAACUCGCCUACGUGAAGGAGGAAUCGCUAGUAAUCGCAGGUCAGCAUACUGCGGUGAAUACGUUCCCGGGCCUUGUACACACCACCCGUCACACCAUGGAAGUUGGCCAUGCCCGAAGUCGUUACUCCAACCCUUGUGGAGGAGGACGCCGAAGGU